AUCGAUGAAGAACGCAGCGAAAUGCGAUAAGUAGUGUGAAUUGCAGAAUUCAGUGAAUCAUCGAAUCUUUGAACGCACAUUGCGCCCCUUGGUAUUCCAUGGGGCAUGCCUGUUCGAGCGUCAUUUGUACCUUCAAGCUCUGCUUGGUGUUGGGUGUUUGUCUCGCCUCUGCGUGUAGACUCGCCUCAAAACAAUUGGCAGCCGGCGUAUUGAUUUCGGAGCGCAGUACAUCUCGCGCUUUGCACUCAUAACGACGACGUCCAAAAGUACAUUUUUACACUCUUGACCUCGGAUCAGGUAGGGAUACCCGCUGAACUUAAGCAUAUCAAUAAGCGGAGGAAAAGAAACCAACAGGGAUUGCCCUAGUAACGGCGAGUGAAGCGGCAACAGCUCAAAUUUGAAAUCUGGCGUCUUUGGCGUCCGAGUUGUAAUUUGCAGAGGGCGCUUUGGCAUUGGCAGCGGUCCAAGUUCCUUGGAACAGGACGUCACAGAGGGUGAGAAUCCCGUACGUGGUCGCUAGCCUUUACCGUGUAAAGCCCCUUCGACGAGUCGAGUUGUUUGGGAAUGCAGCUCUAAAUGGGAGGUAAAUUUCUUCUAAAGCUAAAUACUGGCCAGAGACCGAUAGCGCACAAGUAGAGUGAUCGAAAGAUGAAAAGCACUUUGGAAAGAGAGUUAAAAAGCACGUGAAAUUGUUGAAAGGGAAGCGCUUGCAGCCAGACUUGCCUGUAGUUGCUCAUCCGGGUUUCUACCCGGUGCACUCUUCUAUAGGCAGGCCAGCAUCAGUUUGGGCGGUUGGAUAAAGGUCUCUGUCAUGUACCUCCUUUCGGGGAGAACUUAUAGGGGAGACGACAUGCAACCAGCCUGGACUGAGGUCCGCGCAUCUGCUAGGAUGCUGGCGUAAUGGCUGUAAGCGGCCCGUCUUGAAACACGG
Molecule: ribosomal RNA, 931 nt
Filed under: uncultured Ascomycota
Lineage: Eukaryota; Fungi; Ascomycota
Description: eukaryotic LSU rRNA
Rfam family: Eukaryotic large subunit ribosomal RNA (bases 284-931)
Source: RNAcentral